RNAcentral lists this ribosomal RNA (318 nucleotides) under Triticum aestivum (bread wheat). Its description in RNAcentral is "partial small subunit ribosomal RNA". Lineage: Eukaryota; Viridiplantae; Streptophyta; Magnoliopsida; Poales; Poaceae. The record is from RNAcentral.
AUGGACUCGUUCUUCUUUCUUGCGGGAUUUCAGGAAAAUCCUCCAAGGACAUCUCAAAGAGUAGCAAAUGAAACUGCUACAGCCCAGUCUUCACAGCAGGCAGCUCAAACAUCACAGCAAGCUGCAGGAGGGAGAGCCCAGUCUUCACAGCAAGCUACAGGAGGGAGAGGCCAGUCUUCACAGCAAGCUACAGGAGGGACAACACAACCUAGAAGGGGAAGGCCUCCAAAGCAAGCAAACAGUACACCUGGUGCUAGUUCUAGUCAGGGAAGGAGGAAAUCUACCAGGGUUAGCAUGUUUGAUGAACUAAGGGGUUAA